This is a non-coding RNA of Monodelphis domestica (gray short-tailed opossum), 4420 nucleotides long. NCBI's taxonomy places the organism in Eukaryota, Metazoa, Chordata, Mammalia, Didelphimorphia, Didelphidae. The record is from RefSeq and is a predicted model, not a curated record.
AGCCCGAGGCAGAAGGGGGCAGAGGCCGGGCAGGCGGGCAUCCCUCGGUGGGCCCCUCCGAGGGGACGUGGCCUGUAGGUGCUCUGCUCCUAGCGCACGUGGAAGGCGGAGCCAGCGGCCCCUUUCCAGCCGGGUCUUGGCCCCCAGCAGAGGAAGUGUGGCCCACUGUGCCUCGUUUGUCUAGGGAAGACAGGAAGGCCCCGAAAACAGAGGCUCGGCCCCCCUCCCCACCUUGCCUGGCCUGCCAGUGCCCGCCCUGCCCGUGGCAGAGGGGCAGCUUAGGGGUGGCCAGUGGAGGCUCCCCCUGGGUGCUCGUCCAUCUGGCCCCUGGGGCGGGCGGCCAGGACCCCCCAAGUCCAGCCGCUCACCAUCAGCUCCUGAGCACCCCCCACCAAGCACUGCCCUCCUCCUUGGAAAUUCCAGAGCGGGACAGGCAACUCCCAGAGGCUGGGGGCAGCCUGGCGCUUCUGCUCGGACAGAGCUGAGAAGGUGGGCGAGCCAGCCGGCCUGGGGCCGAGGGGGGGGUGCUGAGGCCGGGGCUCCCCUGCCUGAGAGCGCCGAGAUUCCCAGCUGGCCCCCCUCUGGCAUGGCUCACUUGGUGACCUCGAAGGAGGGAAUGGCUGCUCUGGGCUCUCCGUGGGCUCAUCUGUCCAGUCCUGAGAGCUUCAGCGGCGGCUCUGGCCGAGGCUCGCCUCGGGGUCCCCCGAGCACGGCCAGGCACAGAGGCUGAGGAGCAGCCCCCACUGGGGAGACAUGCCGGGGCAGCCCGCCGGCCCUGCUCCCCUUCUCCCCAGGCUGCUGGCCGCCCCAUUGCUGGAGGCAGCCUGCCAGGGAAUGGGGAGGGAACGGGGCCUCGUUCCCCUUGGGGGGCCCCUGAUGAAACGUGGGAGUGGCGGGACUCCCCGAGGCUCCCUCCCAGGCCGCCACUGGCCAGACUCGCUGCCAGCCUCCAGGCUGUCCUCUUGCCGAUGGGCCCGGCCGCUGCUCGGAGCAGCCCGGCCCACUUCGGCUCCUGAAUUGUCCCCAACAAAAUGGCCGAAGGAGGACUGGCGAGACCUGCUAUGGCGGCCCCAGCAAGAAUCCCCCCCCUCCCCCCCCAGCUCCAGGGAGACCUUCCCGAGGCAGGGGCGCUCGAGCUGGGCUUUCAGGAGAGGCCGGAGCGCAGUGAGCGCAGAAGCAGGGCCCGGACGCAAGGGAUGCUGGGAAAUGUGCCCGAGCAGGAACCGGAGGCAGAGGGCGGCUUGUGAUCAUUAGCACCAUUAGGGAGGCAGCCCCUGGGGCCAGCGGAAGGAGGCUGGGCAGCCGGAGAAUGGAGGCCCAGUUGUCUGCCUGGGGCCCAUGGCUUGAGUGCUACCAAGGGACAGAGAGGCUCCAGGCAGCCCGGAACUGCUCCAUGUCUGGGGAACAGGCACGGCGGAGGAGGAGGGGGAGAGGCAGCAGCAGAGCUCCCCAAGGAGUGGAGGUGGGGUGGAUCUCUGAGGCCCGCCCCAGGCGGGGGCAGUGGCUGCAGACGGGCAGGGGAUGCACCUGCUCAAGGACCACUCGAGGCUCCCUAUCUCCUCUCCGCCAAGCCCAGUGUGGCACACAGCUCCGUCCCGCCGGCUGGUUCCUUCUCCUGCCCCCCACCCCGUGCCUGCAAAUGGGAGGGGGGGUCAGAGGAGACGGGAGGGUGGCUUGGCCAGCGCCCGGAGCGGCCCCAGCAGGGCCAUCCCUGGCCGGCCGAAGGGCUCUGAGAGGGGCUUGGGCCUGGCCCCUCCCAGGCCCUGACUGAAGGACGGGGAUGUGAGUCAUGGCCGGGGAACAAAGAGGGGAAGAGAACAGCUUGGGAAGGUGACCCGAUGCGCACUCAGGAGGCCAGGUGGCUGGCAGAGCGGGAGGGCAGCUGAGGAAGGCAUCCUGGGGAAACUGAGGCAGCGUGGCUGCGAGGCCAGGCUGCUGCUGUGGCCCCGGAGCUACGUGGGCGAUGGCCGAGGACGGACAGCACCCCCCAUUCGGGUGAUGGGGUGUCUACACCACUCAUCUGCGAAUGGCCCUGGCCUGGGCUCCGGCUGGGAGGGCGCUCACGGCGGCUCGGCACCCCCUCCUGCUUUCCAUGAUUCAUGCUGCUAAAAGGAACCAGGACUGGGCCACAGCCAGCCCCACUCCAUCUCCUGCCCGCCUGGGGCAGGGGGAGGGGGAGAGCAGAGAGAGACAGCAGAGAGGGGGCAGAGACAGAGAGCACAGAGGAGAGAGACAGCUGGGGGAGGAGAGACAGAGACAGAGAUGGAGAACAGAAGAGACAGCUGGGGGAAGAGAGACAGAGACAGAGAUGGAGAACAGAAGAGACAGCUGGGGGGGAAGAGAGACAGAGACAGAGAUGGAGAGACAGCUAGGGGGAAGAGAGACAGAGACAGAGAUGGAGAGACAGCUGGGGGAGAAGAGAGACAGAGAGAGAUGGAGAACAGAGGAGAGACAGUUGGGGGAGAAGAGAGACAGAGAGAGAUGGAGAACAGAGGAGAGAGACAGUUGGGGGAGAAGAGAGACAGAGACAGAGAUGGAGAGACAGCUGGGGGAGAAGAGAGACAGAGAGAGAUGGAGAACAGAGGAGAGACAGUUGGGGGAGAAGAGAGACAGAGAGAGAUGGAGAACAGAGGAGAGAGACAGUUGGGGGAGAAGAGAGACAGAGACAGAGAUGGAGAGACAGCUGGGGGAGAAGAGAGACAGAGAGAGAUGGAGAACAGAGGAGAGACAGUUGGGGGAGAAGAGAGACAGAGAGAGAUGGAGAACAGAGGAGAGAGACAGUUGGGGGAGAAGAGAGACAGAGACAGAGAUGGAGAGACAGCUAGGGGGAAGAGAGACAGAGAUGGAGAGACAGCUGGGGGAGAAGAGAGACAGAGAGAGAUGGAGAACAGAGGAGAGACAGUUGGGGGAGAAGAGAGACAGAGAGAGAUGGAGAACAGAGGAGAGAGACAGUUGGGGAGAAGAGAGACAGAGACAGAGAUGGAGAGACAGCUGGGGGAGAAGAGAGACAGAGAGAGAUGGAGAACAGAGGAGAGAGUUGGAGGAGAAGAGAGACAGAGACAGAGAUGGAGAGACAGCUAGGGGGAAGAGAGACAGAGACAGAGAUGGAGAGACAGCUGGGGGAGAAGAGAGACAGAGAGAGAUGGAGAACAGAGGAGAGACAGUUGGAGGAGAAGAGAGACAGAGACAGAGAUGGAGAGACAGCUGGGGGGAAGAGAGACAGAGACAGAGAUGGAGAACAGAAGAGACAGCUGGAGAAGAGAGACAGAGACAGAUGGAGACAGAAGAGAGGGCAGCAUCAAGGGAGCAGAACCGAGGGGGAGAACAGAGACAGACAAGACUAGAGGACAGAGACGGAGAGGCUCGAGAGAGCUGAGAGAAAGCCUGAGAGGGGGAGAUAGGCAGAGACGUCUUCCCGCUCCCGCUCUGCCUGGGUGGGGCCUCUGGAGAUGGGUGGGGUGCGGACAGCUCCCCGGCCUGGGCCUGGAGCCUCCCUCCAUCCGGGCAUGUGGGCCGCCCUUCCACCCCAGCCCCUGCCCUUCGCAGACCGACCCACCCCACAGAUGGAUUCUGGACGUCCCCACCCAGAUGAGCUCAGCCUCCUCCUCCUCCUCCUCCUCCUCCUCCGCUCCCCAGGCCUGGACGCGCUUUAUCAGGAGCUCCUGCCUUGGCUGCCCGCGAGGGCCCUCCCUGCUGCCGGCUCCCACCAGCGGCUGGAGGGCCGCUCAGGCGAGCCAGCCCCACUCUCGGGCGCGCCGGCUGGGCGCGCCGGCUGGGCGCGCGGCUCCCCCGUAGGGCGGGGAGAUGCCCGGAGCGCUGGUCCUCCCCCGCUUCUCCUUCCCCAGGGCUCCGCGGGGCACCUUCCCGCCCCCGUCUUUGCUCUCGGCCCCCCUCUGGGCCGGAGCGUCGGAGCCGGCCGGACCCACUUCCAGACUUCUCGAGCAGGCCCUGUGCCGAGGCGGGGCUCGGGGUGGGAGAGCUUCUCCCUGCCUCGGCUCUGCUUGGCACCCCGGGGAGACCCGAGGGGGACUUCGGGCACUUGGUGGCAGUUUCCAGGGUCAAGGACAGCGUGGGUGGCAGAGCGAGCCGACGUCACUUAUAAGAAUAGAAUUAGGGCGGCCCCUUCGGCUCUGCCCUCGCUUACAGUUCGCUGGGGCUCGGGGGAGGCAGGGAGGCAGGGCCGCCCCAGGAAGCCGGUGGUGAUCCUCUCCGGGAGGCAGGAGGCCAGGCCUUGAGAAAGGGGGCUUCGUGGGAGCGGCCCGAGGCACAGUGGCCGGUGCCCAGGGCCCACUCGCCGAGGGAGUCAAUUCGGGCCAGGGGCUGGGCAUAGAGAUCAUCGGCACCCUGCAGCUGGUGCUCUGCGUCCUGGCCACCACGGACCGCAGGCGCCACGACAUCACGGGCUCCGCUCCACUGGCCA